This 1357-nucleotide ribosomal RNA is filed under the name Marasmia exigua. Its description in RNAcentral is "Cnaphalocrocis exigua 16S ribosomal RNA". Lineage: Eukaryota; Metazoa; Arthropoda; Insecta; Lepidoptera; Crambidae. The record is from RNAcentral.
GGGGGAAAAAUUAAAUAUUUAUAAUUAAUAAAAGUAUUUUUAAUAUUAAAAUGGGGGUUUUAGUAUUAAUAAAGAAAAAAUUAUAAAAUUUAUAGGGUAAUAGUAUUGUAAAAUAAAUUUGAAAUAAUUGAUAUAUAAAUUUAAUAAAAAGUAAAUUUUAAUUAUUGUAUCUUGUGUAUCAGAGUUUAUUAAUUAAUAUUUUAGAUUAAAAUUAAUCUCGAAUUUAAAAGAGAUAAUUAAUUAUGAAAGUUAUUGUUGUAUAAAUAUUUUUAAUAAUUAAUUUGAAAUGAAAUGUUAAUCGUUUUUAAAGAUAUCUAGUUUUUUUAGAAAAAAAUUUAAUUUUAUUUAUUUUUUAUAAAGAGUUAAUUAAUUAACUCUUUAUAAAAAAUAAAUAUAUAUUUUAAGGGAUAAUCUUUAAAUUAAAUUUUUAUAAUUUAUUAAUUUUUAAUUUAUUUUAAAAUUUUUAAAAUUUAUAUUGUUUAUAAUUUUUAAUUUUUUUUAUAAAUAAUUUUAAUUAAAUUAAAAUUUUAAAAAAAAUUUAAAUAUUUAUAAAAAAAUAUUUUUUAAUUAAAUAAAAUUAGUUAUACUGAUAAAAUUAGUAUUUAUAAUUUAAAAAAAAAUAUUUAUUAUAUAAAAAUUAAUAUUAAUGAAUUCGGCAAAAUUAUAUAUUCACUUGUUUAUCAAAAACAUGUCUUUUUGGAAAUAAUUUAAAGUCUAAUCUGCCCACUGAUAAUUUAUUAAAGGGCUGCAGUAUAUUGACUGUACAAAGGUAGCAUAAUCAAUAGUCUCUUAAUUGGUGACUUGUAUGAAAGAUUGAAUGAAAUAUAAACUGUCUCAAUAUUAUUAUAAAUAAAUUAAUUUUUUAGUUAAAAAGCUAAAAUGAAUUUAAAAGACGAGAAGACCCUAUAGAGUUUAAUAUUAUAUUUAUUAAAAUUAUUUAUAAAAAAAAAUUAUUUAAUAAUUAAAAUAAAUUAAUAAUAUUUUAUUGGGGUGAUAAAAAAAUAAAAAAAACUUUUUUUAUAUAUAAAACAUAAAUAAGUGAAUAAUUGAUCCAAAAUUAUUUUGAUUAUAAGAAAAAAUUACCUUAGGGAUAACAGCGUAAUUUUUUUUUUUAGUACAAAUAAAAAAAAAAGUUUGCGACCUCGAUGUUGGAUUAAGAUAAAAUUUAUAUGCAAAAGUUUAAAAUUUUGAUCUGUUCGAUCAUUAAAAUCUUACAUGAUCUGAGUUCAAACCGGUGUAAGCCAGGUUGGUUUCUAUCUUUAAAUAUUAAAAAUAUUUUAGUACGAAAGGAAUAAAUAUUUAAAUUAAAUUUAAUUAAAAAGAAUUUUAAUAAAAUUAUUAUAAAGUUAAAAAUUUA